RNAcentral lists this ribosomal RNA (695 nucleotides) under uncultured Lachnospiraceae bacterium. RNAcentral describes it as "bacterial SSU rRNA". It matches the Rfam family "Bacterial small subunit ribosomal RNA", at positions 61 to 767 of the family's 1533-position model. Lineage: Bacteria; Bacillati; Bacillota; Clostridia; Lachnospirales; Lachnospiraceae. The record is from RNAcentral.
GUCGAACGGAGCUGAGAGGAGCUUGCUUUUCUUAGCUUAGUGGCGAACGGGUGAGUAACGCGUGAGUAACCUGCCCUGGAGUGGGGGACAACAGUUGGAAACGACUGCUAAUACCGCAUAAGCCCACGGAUCCGCAUGGAUCUGCGGGAAAAGGAUUUAUUCGCUUCAGGAUGGACUCGCGUCCAAUUAGCUAGUUGGUGAGGUAACGGCCCACCAAGGCGACGAUUGGUAGCCGGACUGAGAGGUUGAACGGCCACAUUGGGACUGAGACACGGCCCAGACUCCUACGGGAGGCAGCAGUGGGGGAUAUUGCACAAUGGGGGAAACCCUGAUGCAGCGACGCCGCGUGGAGGAAGAAGGUUUUCGGAUUGUAAACUCCUGUCGUUAGGGACGAUAAUGACGGUACCUAACAAGAAAGCACCGGCUAACUACGUGCCAGCAGCCGCGGUAAAACGUAGGGUGCAAGCGUUGUCCGGAAUUACUGGGUGUAAAGGGAGCGCAGGCGGACCGGCAAGUUGGAAGUGAAAACUAUGGGCUCAACCCAUAAAUUGCUUUCAAAACUGCUGGCCUUGAGUAGUGCAGAGGUAGGUGGAAUUCCCGGUGUAGCGGUGGAAUGCGUAGAUAUCGGGAGGAACACCAGUGGCGAAGGCGACCUACUGGGCACCAACUGACGCUGAGGCUCGAAAGCAUGGGUA